GACGAACGCUGGCGGCGUGCUUAACACAUGCAAGUCGAACGGAAAGGCCCUGCUUUUGUGGGGUGCUCGAGUGGCGAACGGGUGAGUAACACGUGAGUAACCUGCCCUUGACUUUAGGAUAACUUCAGGAAACUGGGGCUAAUACCGGAUAGGAGCUCCUGCUGCAUGGUGGGGGUUGGAAAGUUUCGGCGGUUGGGGAUGGACUCGCGGCUUAUCAGCUUGUUGGUGGGGUAGUGGCUUACCAAGGCUUUGACGGGUAGCCGGCCUGAGAGGGUGACCGGCCACAUUGGGACUGAGAUACGGCCCAGAAUCCUACGGGAGGCAGCAGUGGGGAAUAUUGCACAAUGGGCGGAAGCCUGAUGCAGCAACGCCGCGUGCGGGAUGACGGCCUUCGGGUUGUAAACCGCUUUCGCCUGUGACGAAGCGUGAGUGACGGUAAUGGGUAAAGAAGCACCGGCUAACUACGUG
This 468-nucleotide ribosomal RNA is filed under the name uncultured bacterium. RNAcentral describes it as "partial 16S ribosomal RNA". It matches the Rfam family "Bacterial small subunit ribosomal RNA", at positions 28 to 507 of the family's 1533-position model. The record is from RNAcentral.